UUGAAUGCAGUAUAAUUUUAUUUCCAAGAUAAAAUUAGUCUCAAGUAAUUACAGAUUGGGCAACACUUGUUCACAAGUUAAGAGAGACUUGAAAGACCGUUAAAGUUUAACCCACGUCAAAGUAAAUACUCCUUUCGGUGAUUUGUAACACAAGAUUCCCUAAAACGAAUAUUUUUUGGUUUAAAGAAAAAGAAUCAAUUUAUUUCUCUUCUAAAAAAUUAACCAUUCGUUUCUGAUAUAUUUUCCAUUUUUUGAAAAUUUGAUUUAAACCGACCGGUUCUUCAUAACCGCCGGUUUUCUCUCUCUGCAAGGCACAUUAUCGUCUGCAGUUGUUUCUUCUUCGUUUAAAUCACCGGUCGUGUUUCCAAUGUAAGUUCUCUGUUUCAUCAGUGAGUGGGGUUACCUCUAAAACAUAUGUUUUGGUUCUGUUUUGAGAUUUAAUUGAUGUUCCUUUUUCUCUGUGCCUUGGAACCUCGUUGUCCCAGCCAGAAGCUUUGAUGGGAUGAGCAUUGACCGUGAGGCUAUCUGAAAUUGAGUCUGUAGAAAAGAAUCUCAAUGCUUUUUCAAAGUUUCCUCAGCCUUUCACUAAGACUGCCUUAACAUUUAGCUCGCUUUUGAGGUCUGCAUUGGUUUAGGAUUGAAAAGUAGAGAAUGUUUCUCUUUAGGACUGUUCGUUUGGUUGCCGCAGGUACCGGCGGCAGCGGCAGCGUCAACAUUCUGCGUCAACUCUUGUUCGUUUCGUUGACGCAGGAAACUGCGUCUGACGCCGCGUCCUGCGGCUGACGCCGCGUCCUGCGGCUGACGCCGAUAAAAUCUGCGGUCGCGAUAUAGUAUGCGGCAGCGGCAGCGGCAGCGUCUGCAUCUGCGAAACGAACAACAACUGUUCUCAUUGACGCUGCCGCCGCCGCUGACGCCGAAACCUGCGGCAACCAAACGAACAGGAAUUUUGUGACAAAAAAAAAGAGAGAGAGAAUGGUUUUCUCAUGUUAAAAUGGCGUGUUAAAAAAAAGGAGUGGUGGAAUGGCUGUAAGAAGAUUGUAGUCAAGUCUGUACGAUGUGGAAACGGUUUGCUUGUGAUGAGCUUGAGGUGCUCAACACCAACUCUUCUUCCUUGCUACCUUGUUUGAUGGUUACUUCAUGUUCAUACAGUGAUGAAUCUGAUGAUGAGAUUGACUGUGAACCUGAGUCUUUUCUGAUGAGUAACGUGGGUUUGGCUGAGACUGCCCUAUAUGAAGUGAGGCACAAGUUUUGUUGUUGUUGAUAAACUGAUUGAGAUAUUGGAUCUGUUUGUUGAUGAUAACAGGAAGAUAUCAGGAAUCAAGUAUCAGAUGUCGGAGCGGAAAUAAUGAAAGAGAUGGAAUCGUCUCUCGCUCAAAGAAACUAGGAAAGAAGUGGAACCUAAACGUGAUCUACGAAAAGUGUAAGCUAUGCUACAUUGAAUGCUCAAGCUGGUGGGUAGCUAUCUUCUUCUAAACACCUAUUGCCUAGGUAAAUCAAUCCAAGCUGCAGAAAGUGCUUUGACAUUGGAGAAGCACAGGUUGAAGAAGCUGGAAGAGUUAGAAGCAGUGAACCAGUCUCUAAAAUCAUGUUCAAAUGAGGACUUUAGCAUCUUUGAAAAAACAAAUUGCAAGGGCCAUAAAGCAAAUAAGGGCAACAAAGGAUAAUGUAAGAUAGUCUCCACUCAAGACCCUUUUGCAGGCAGCUACGUCAUCCUUUAUGUCACCUCGCAGCAAUGGAUAUUGUUCUUGCUGAUUUUUACAAAGCUUGCAUUUACACUGUCCCAAAGCAUAUUAUUAGCUCACAUGUUGGGACUCAGACGCAUAUCACCGCCUAGCUUCUACGGUGAGACGCUACGGUGCACUUGUCCAGACCGAUAUUUGCGGUGGCAAUGCUCAUAACAUUCAUGGGAUUGAACAUGGAUGGGCUUGGUUUGCCCGGUUCCUUAACAAAAUCUCAGCCUACAGAUGCUACUACAACAGCCUUAAACGCAUUUCUCCAGACGGCAGGGUUUGGUCUAUUCAUCAGAGGUACAAAUCUCAGUUCUUAAAAGCUGCGAACGUUGUCAGAGAGCAUUUCUUGCCAAAGUUGAGGGCGAAAAAGGACGCAGCGAAUCUACAGACGAUCAUAACCGAUAUAACAGCGUACUUGGAUUACCAGAUGUAUGUAUCUCAAGGAACCUAUAGGAAGAACUAGAUCAGCAGAAUCAACAUCACCAUGGGAAUUAUUGCAGAGGUUAUCAUUGAAUUUAUGUAUCAUGCGUUAAAUAAAACUUAUCAAUUUUCUUUAGGCUGUUGUAACAUAUAAUGUUACACCAAUUAUUUGAAAAAUCAGUCACAAGAAGCUGAAUCAAGGAAACAUUAUUGUUUAAUUA
This is an RNA transcript of Brassica napus (rape), 2371 nucleotides long. RefSeq lists it as uncharacterized. NCBI's taxonomy places the organism in Eukaryota, Viridiplantae, Streptophyta, Magnoliopsida, Brassicales, Brassicaceae. The transcript has 9 exons. The record is from RefSeq and is a predicted model, not a curated record.